UUCCUCGUCACGCAGUCUGUCUGAAAGCACAGGAACUGUUCAGCUAACAGCAUUAGUGAUUCACAUCGGCCUUCUGCAUCAGAGAUACCGUCUGUUUCAACUGAGCAAUGUCCUGCUGACCUGGAUCCAAAUACAGAUGGCCAAAUACUGAAGUGCAGGGAUUUCUCUCAAGACCACCCAAGCUACUGCUCU
Sinocyclocheilus anshuiensis is the source of this 192-nucleotide long non-coding RNA. RefSeq lists it as uncharacterized. The record is from RefSeq and is a predicted model, not a curated record. The transcript has 5 exons. Lineage: Eukaryota; Metazoa; Chordata; Actinopteri; Cypriniformes; Cyprinidae.